GCACUCACUUUAGCAGCACAUAUACUAAAAUUGGAGCAACACAAAGAUUAUUAUGGUCCCUGAGCAAAGAUGACAGGCAAAUUUCAUGGAGGUAUUCCAUAUUUUU
Molecule: small nuclear RNA, 106 nt
Organism: Perognathus longimembris pacificus (Pacific pocket mouse)
Lineage: Eukaryota; Metazoa; Chordata; Mammalia; Rodentia; Heteromyidae
Source: RefSeq, a predicted model, not a curated record